GACGAACGCUGGCGGCGUGCCUAAUACAUGCCAGUCGUGCGGACCUUGUUGAAAGCGUGCUUUUAAAAGGUUAGCGGCGGACGGGUGAGUAACACGUGGGCAACCUGCCUGUAAGACUGGGAUAACGCCGGGAAACCGGGGCUAAUACCAGAUCGUUUUUUCCUCCGCAUGGAGGAAAAAGGAAAGGCGGCUUCGGCUGCCACUUACAGAUGGGCCCGCGGCGGAUUAGCUAGUUGGCGGGGUAAUGGCCCACCAAGGCAACGAUGCGUAGCCGACCUGAGAGGGUGAUCGGCCACAUUGGGACUGAGACACGGCCCAAACUCCUACGGGAGGCAGCAGUAGGGAAUCUUCCGCAAUGGACGAAAGUCUGACGGAGCAACGCCGCGUGAGUGAAGAAGGCCUUCGGGUCGUAAAACUCUGUUGCCGGGGAAGAACAAGUGCCGUUCGAACAGGGCGGCGCCUUGACGGUACCCGGCCAGAAAGCCACGGCUAACUACGUG
Molecule: ribosomal RNA, 500 nt
Filed under: uncultured bacterium
Lineage: Bacteria
Description: partial 16S ribosomal RNA
Rfam family: Bacterial small subunit ribosomal RNA
Source: RNAcentral